AAUAGAUACCCAGGUAGUCCACGCCGUAAACGAUGAGUGCUAAGUGUUAGGGGUUCCGCCCCUUAGUGCUGCAGCUAACGCAUUAAGCACUCCGCCUGGGGAGUACGGUCGCAAGACUGAAACUCAAAGGAAUUGACGGGGGCCCGCACAAGCGGUGGAGCAUGUGGUUUAAUUCGAAGCAACGCGAAGAACCUUACCAGGUCUUGACAUCCCACUGACCGCUAUGGAGACAUAGUUUUCCCUUCGGGGACAGUGGUGACAGGUGGUGCAUGGUUGUCGUCAGCUCGUGUCGUGAGAUGUUGGGUUAAGUCCCGCAACGAGCGCAACCCUUGAUCUUAGUUGCCAUCAUUUAGUUGGGCACUCUAAGGUGACUGCCGGUGACAAACCGGAGGAAGGUGGGGAUGACGUCAAAUCAUCAUGCCCCUUAUGACCUGGGCUACACACGUGCUACAAUGGACGGUACAAACGGUUGCCAACCCGCGAGGGGAGCUAAUCCGAUAAAACCGUUCUCAGUUCGGAUUGUAGGCUGCAACUCGCCUAC
RNAcentral lists this ribosomal RNA (541 nucleotides) under uncultured bacterium. Its description in RNAcentral is "bacterial SSU rRNA". It matches the Rfam family "Bacterial small subunit ribosomal RNA", at positions 777 to 1319 of the family's 1533-position model. The record is from RNAcentral.